ACAGGUGACAGUGCCACUCAACACUAGUUCAGCUUCAGUUCUACAGUUUGCACUUGGUUCCGGCUCCUGUCGCUUUAGCUUCACAGAUCCUGAUAUUGUUGUCUCCUAUAGCCGUAACAACUCUGAGGGCUGGACCCCACUGGAGAAGAUCCGAGCACCUUCCAAUAGUACGACAGUAAUCCACCUGCUUCAUGUUAGUGCUGCCAAGGGAG
Polypterus senegalus (gray bichir) is the source of this 212-nucleotide long non-coding RNA. RefSeq lists it as uncharacterized. The transcript is spliced from 3 exons. Lineage: Eukaryota; Metazoa; Chordata; Cladistia; Polypteriformes; Polypteridae. The record is from RefSeq and is a predicted model, not a curated record.